RNAcentral lists this ribosomal RNA (475 nucleotides) under uncultured organism. RNAcentral describes it as "partial 16S ribosomal RNA". It matches the Rfam family "Bacterial small subunit ribosomal RNA", at positions 333 to 799 of the family's 1533-position model. The record is from RNAcentral.
ACACUCCUACGGGAGGCAGCAGUGGGGAAUUUUGGACAAUGGGCGAAAGCCUGAUCCAGCAAUGCCGCGUGAGUGAAGAAGGCCUUCGGGUUGUAAAGCUCUUUUGUCAGGGAAGAAACGGUGAGAGCUAAUAUCUCUUGCUAAUGACGGUACCUGAAGAAUAAGCACCGGCUAACUACGUGCCAGCAGCCGCGGUAAUACGUAGGGUGCAAGCGUUAAUCGGAAUUACUGGGCGUAAAGCGUGCGCAGGCGGUUUUGUAAGUCUGAUGUGAAAUCCCCGGGCUCAACCUGGGAAUUGCAUUGGAGACUGCAAGGCUAGAAUCUGGCAGAGGGGGGUAGAAUUCCACGUGUAGCAGUGAAAUGCGUAGAUAUGUGGAGGAACACCGAUGGCGAAGGCAGCCCCCUGGGUCAAGAUUGACGCUCAUGCACGAAAGCGUGGGGAGCAAACAGGAUUAGAAACCCUUGUAGUCCCAUG